RNAcentral lists this ribosomal RNA (420 nucleotides) under Burkholderia cepacia. RNAcentral's name for it is "bacterial SSU rRNA". It matches the Rfam family "Bacterial small subunit ribosomal RNA", at positions 374 to 787 of the family's 1533-position model. Lineage: Bacteria; Pseudomonadati; Pseudomonadota; Betaproteobacteria; Burkholderiales; Burkholderiaceae. The record is from RNAcentral.
GGCGAAAGCCUGAUCCAGCAAUGCCGCGUGUGUGAAGAAGGCCUUCGGGUUGUAAAGCACUUUUGUCCGGAAAGAAAUCCUUGGCUUAAUACAGUCGGGGGAUGACGGUACCGGAAGAAAAAGCACCGGCUAACUACGUGCCAGCAGCCGCGGUAAUACGUAGGGUGCAAGCGUUAAUCGGAAUUACUGGGCGUAAAGCGUGCGCAGGCGGUUUGCUAAGACCGAUGUGAAAUCCCCGGGCUCAACCUGGGAACUGCAUUGGUGACUGGCAGGCUAGAGUAUGGCAGAGGGGGGUAGAAUUCCACGUGUAGCAGUGAAAUGCGUAGAGAUGUGGAGGAAUACCGAUGGCGAAGGCAGCCCCCUGGGCCAAUACUGACGCUCAUGCACGAAAGCGUGGGGAGCAAACAGGAUUAGAUACCC